Molecule: transfer RNA, 71 nt
Filed under: Loxodonta africana (African savanna elephant)
Lineage: Eukaryota; Metazoa; Chordata; Mammalia; Proboscidea; Elephantidae
Rfam family: tRNA
About the family: Transfer RNA (tRNA) molecules are approximately 80 nucleotides in length. Their secondary structure includes four short double-helical elements and three loops (D, anti-codon, and T loops).
Source: Rfam by way of RNAcentral
GCAGUGGUGAUUCAGCGGUAGAAUUUUUCUCUUCCAUGCGGAGGACCCAGGUUCGAUUCUUUGCCAUUGCU